Molecule: small nuclear RNA, 136 nt
Organism: Antechinus flavipes (yellow-footed antechinus)
Lineage: Eukaryota; Metazoa; Chordata; Mammalia; Dasyuromorphia; Dasyuridae
Product: U4 spliceosomal RNA
Exons: 1
Source: RefSeq, a predicted model, not a curated record
AGCUUUGCGCAGUGGCAGUAUCGAAGCCAAUGAGGUUUAACUGAGGCGCGAUUAUUGCUAAUUGAAAACUUUUCCCAAACAACUAUGAAGCUCCAGUUCAUAUCCAUUAGAUUUUUUCCCCCCAAGGCAUUUGGGG